Molecule: small nucleolar RNA, 106 nt
Filed under: Cephalotus follicularis
Lineage: Eukaryota; Viridiplantae; Streptophyta; Magnoliopsida; Oxalidales; Cephalotaceae
Description: Plant small nucleolar RNA R71
Rfam family: Plant small nucleolar RNA R71
About the family: R71 is a member of the C/D box family of snoRNAs containing the C (UGAUGA) and D (CUGA) box motifs.
Source: Rfam by way of RNAcentral
AAACCAUGACGAGGACACUCUAAGAGGAGGUCUUUGAAACGUUUCAUACAUCUAGAGAAUGAUCAUUGGGUCUUUGGCAAAACUAAAAAAUGUCAUUCCUAAGCUU